Suricata suricatta (meerkat) is the source of this 560-nucleotide long non-coding RNA. RefSeq lists it as uncharacterized. Lineage: Eukaryota; Metazoa; Chordata; Mammalia; Carnivora; Herpestidae. The record is from RefSeq and is a predicted model, not a curated record. The transcript has 4 exons.
UGGGGACCGAGCGGGCACAAACCCGCACCAGCCAGUCUGGUGCUUUGGGCAUUUCCUGGCUUCUAGGGAAGCUCUGUCCCCACGGGCAGCAGGAGACCCGCGUGUGGUCAGGAACCACCUCCGUUUUCCAGAUAUUGCACUGUCACCAACCCCCUACUCGGGACCUUUCGACUGGAGUGCAUGGGCUGGUCCCCCGCAUUCCAAGUGGUAGUGGCACCCGAACAGAGACCCGAGUAGAAGGCAUUUCAAAGGUGUCCUUAUAAGGAUCCACGGAGCAGAUACAGAUGAGGGGAGAAAGCCAUAAGGCCAUGAAGGCAGAGAUCCGGAGGCACACGGCCACAAGCCAACAAAUGCCUGAGGGCACCAGAAGCUGGAAGAGGCAAAGAAAGACGAGUCUUUGGAGGAAGCCUGGCCUUGCCAACAUCUUGAUUCCAGAUUUCUGGCCUCCCGAACUAUAAAAGAAGAAACUUCUGUUGUCUCAAGCCAACAAAUUUACGACGAUUUUGUUAUAGGAAAUAAAUACCAAUAAAUACCAUUUAUAAUUUUAGGACAAAGAAUUG